This 496-nucleotide ribosomal RNA is filed under the name uncultured bacterium. RNAcentral describes it as "partial 16S ribosomal RNA". It matches the Rfam family "Bacterial small subunit ribosomal RNA", at positions 28 to 523 of the family's 1533-position model. The record is from RNAcentral.
GAUGAACGCUGGCGGCAGGCCUAAUACAUGCAAGUUGAACGGGAUUAAGUAGCAAUACUUAUGAGAGUAGCGCACGGGUGCGUAACGCGUAUGCAAUCUACCUUUAACUGGGGAAUAGCCCCGAGAAAUCGGGAUUAAUACCGCAUAAUAUUAUCGAAUGGCAUCAUUUGAUACUCAAAACUACGGUGGUUAAAGAUGAGCAUGCGUGACAUUAGCUAGUUGGUGAGGUAACGGCUCACCAAGGCUCCGAUGUCUAGGGGGUCUGAGAGGAUGAUCCCCCACACUGGUACUGAGACACGGACCAGACUCCUACGGGAGGCAGCAGUAAGGAAUAUUGGUCAAUGGACGCAAGUCUGAACCAGCCAUGCCGCGUGCAGGAUGACUGCCCUAUGGGUUGUAAACUGCUUUUGUACGGGAAGAAACCUCGCUACGUGUAGAGAGCUGACGGUACCGUAAGAAUAAGGAUCGGCUAACUCCGUGCCAGCAGCCGCAGUAA